This 240-nucleotide unclassified non-coding RNA is filed under the name soil metagenome. RNAcentral's name for it is "partial contains 5.8S ribosomal RNA, internal transcribed spacer 2, and large subunit ribosomal RNA". The record is from RNAcentral.
AACGAGGCCGACCUGCGGCUGAGUUACCUGCGGAAGGAUCAUUACCGAGUGUGGCCCCCCAAAAAAAAGGAGGGGUACCUCCCGUCCUUUGCAGGGCCCUUUGGGGCUUUUUGAACUUUGCUUCGGCGGGGUUAUCCCGCCGGAACACCCUCAAGAAAAUCUUUUUAAAAAAACUGUUGUCUGAGCACUUUGCGAAUAAAACAAAAACUUUCAACAACGGAUCUCAGAUCGGAAGAGCAC